Long non-coding RNA from Megachile rotundata (alfalfa leafcutting bee), 2475 nucleotides. The record is from RefSeq and is a predicted model, not a curated record. NCBI's taxonomy places the organism in Eukaryota, Metazoa, Arthropoda, Insecta, Hymenoptera, Megachilidae.
UUUUCGCCGACACCGAUGCCGUCAACUGUCGACCCCGUCGAGUUCGCCAUCGCCGGCCAAACCAACGGCGGCCACCUGGAAACCACAACCCAGUUUCACAGACACGUAACGCAUUGCGUAUGGAAAAGAAUAGAAAACUGAUCGAAAGAAAUCGCAAAGAAUGUUUACCCCAAGACCGUUGGCCCGCCCGCCGUAGAAAAGCCUGAUAGGUAGUUUAUCGGCUCGUCAUUCUGACGUAGUAUGGUGGGCAACCCCAGUUUGCGCCUGACGAUCGGCUCUGACGUCACUGAGGUGCCACCAAUCUCGCGCCCUCCACUCUCCACCAAGGAUGCUACGUACACAGCGAAAAGAGGACGGGCUGCUGCUGCACGCGCUGCUAUGUGGAGAAGGGUGCACCGGCCUGCACACAGGGUUGCGCUGACGCGAUUCGCAGUAUUUUCGAAUCUAUCGCUAGCAGCUGGACGUGUAUAUACGUGGUGGUACUUGGAGCUAGAUCUAUGCGCCUGACAGAGAGAGCAGCACCUCGACGUCCUCAUCCCCCGGAACUUUCAUCGUCCCGUUUUCUGCACUCCUGCAGGGACCUACAUACAUAUAUAUACAGUGAGAGAAAGAGAGAGGGAUUCACCUGUACCGGACAAUGUCUGCAAGUGAAGCGGAAAAAAUAGCUUCUAUCGAUCGUUUAAAAAAUCUUCGAGACGGAGGAUGCGACAAAAUGUAUACCUAUCGGUACUGUAAUCAGGAAAAAUACACAGCCUCUCCUGCAUGUUGGCAGAAUAUCCGUCGGUUGAGAGUAGAUGGCUGACCCUCAAACGGGUCAGUGAAUGCUAAUUCCACGACCCACCCUUUCUCCCCUGGUAACCGCAGUGUACUUCCUUUGGGCAGUUUCGGAACAGCUCCAAAAAUUCAUUGCCGUAGAAAUUAUCAACGUAAAUGAAUGUUGUGCGAUCGGGAUACGUGUCAAUACAUCGUUAAUGAGUCAAUACUGUAAUUUAAUUAAAGAUAUUUGCCAUUUGUACGUUCAUAAUUAAGAUAGAAAAGUGUGACUACGUAAAUACUAAAGUCUGUCAAGUUUUUGUCUUGAUUACUUUAAAAAUUAACUUGAAAAUAACAAACAAGAAUUGUUUAAUUUAUAUCUGGUAAAACAAAGACAAGAACUUUUGUAUAUUACAUUGUACACCGAUAUAUUUAUAAUUAUUGACCGAUAUAUUUAUAAUUUUAGAAUUUAGACUUUAGAAUUGACACUAAUUUGUAAAGCUAGAGUAACACACUAGCUCGGCGUAUCUACCUAGAUCUAAAACGUCGUUUAAUAUUUCAAUCUGUGUAACGACGGGAAAAUUAAUGUACGCUCACGGCUUCCAAUUAAUUAAACGCGCCACCGUGUCAUUACAAAUAUCGAAGCGCGCUCGCGUUUGCCUGUAUCAUUGUAAAACUCGUCGAGAGAGUUUCACGCGCUUUUAAUUCAGCGCCGUUGCCAUUCCAGACUGCUUCUCGUAGGCGUUUCGCGUAUCCAGAUCGAACGAAUGAAAUUUUACCGCGUCCCGAGAUUAAUAUUCUUUUAAUGCACCGACGACGAUUGCCGAGAACACGUAGCAAGAACUUUAAAAUGAUAUUCAGUCGGGGUUAUUGCAUUGACUGCGAAGCACAGCAGGGCAAGUCUCGAUGGAGCUCUGGUCUUUGAAAAGUUAACCAGAAUCAUCCGUGGAUCCUUUUCUCUCGUUGAUCCUUCACGUUGCAUUCUCGCAGUCGACGCAAUGCCAUGUGCACCGUUAAUGAUACACCCCUCGCCUUCCCUUUUUACUCGUCGCGCUUCAUUCAAGAGGCAACCGCGUACACUUCUUUCAGUAUUAUUUAAUACACAUUGACGGUUUUCAAGUUGCGUUUAACUAGGUAGUGGACGCUAUAGCUUUAAAAUACUAUUGAAAUUUGAAGUUCGACAUUGUUGUAUACUUUAUAUGUGUAAAGAAUAACUUAUAUAUUACUCAAUGAAUCGUGGAAUUUGUAUUAUGAUAAUGGAACGUAGACAACCGAAAUCUCAUUCAUCAAUUAUUCAAAGAUGUGUAAUGAGAAGAGGAGAUUUCCCCAAGCGAUCAAUAAUGUGUUAAUUACGCGGCGUUGCCUCUCUGAUACGUUAGAAAUAGAAUACUUUUUUAUCAUGGUCAAUGAGAUCUGUAAAACAACAUCAUUUAUAUCCUCGACCUUCUUUAUGUACAAUGUUGCUCUAUUAGUUUCUAAGGUAUAUUAAGGUUUAUUAGUUAAAUUAAGAUUUAAUUGUAAAGCGCAAUUAUGUGUAUAGUCUACUUUGUAAUUAUAGCGAAUGUAAUAAUAGUAUCAUUAGUUAAUUGAACAAUAUAGCAUGUAAUCUAGUAUAAGUUCAUUAAUAUUAUAAAAAGGAACCAUCAGGAUAAGUUUGAGUUAUAUUUAACUACUUAUAAGCUUGUAUACUUGAUGUACAUAAAAACAGUAUUAAAAUAAAGA